AGAGUUUGAUCCUGGCUCAGGAUGAACGCUAGCUACAGGCUUAACACAUGCAAGUCGAGGGGCAGCAUGGUCUUAGCUUGCUAAGGCCGAUGGCGACCGGCGCACGGGUGAGUAACACGUAUCCAACCUGCCGUCUACUCUUGGACAGCCUUCUGAAAGGAAGAUUAAUACAAGAUGGCAUCAUGAGUCCGCAUGUUCACAUGAUUAAAGGUAUUCCGGUAGACGAUGGGGAUGCGUUCCAUUAGAUAGUAGGCGGGGUAACGGCCCACCUAGUCUUCGAUGGAUAGGGGUUCUGAGAGGAAGGUCCCCCACAUUGGUACUGAGACACGGACCAAACUCCUACGGGAGGCAGCAGUGAGGAAUAUUGGUCAAUGGCCGAGAGGCUGAACCAGCCAAGUCGCGUGAGGGAUGAAGGUUCUAUGGAUCGUAAACCUCUUUUAUAAGGGAAUAAAGUGCGGGACGUGUCCCGUUUUGUAUGUACCUUAUGAAUAAGGAUCGGCUAACUCCGUGCCAGCAGCCGCGGUAAUACGGAGGAUCCGAGCGUUAUCCGGAUUUAUUGGGUUUAAAGGGUGCGUAGGCGGCCUUUUAAGUCAGCGGUGAAAGUCUGUGGCUCAACCAUAGAAUUGCCGUUGAAACUGGGGGGCUUGAGUAUGUUUGAGGCAGGCGGAAUGCGUGGUGUAGCGGUGAAAUGCAUAGAUAUCACGCAGAACCCCGAUUGCGAAGGCAGCCUGCCAAGCCAUUACUGACGCUGAUGCACGAAAGCGUGGGGAUCAAACAGGAUUAGAUACCCUGGUAGUCCACGCAGUAAA
RNAcentral lists this ribosomal RNA (809 nucleotides) under uncultured bacterium. RNAcentral describes it as "bacterial SSU rRNA". It matches the Rfam family "Bacterial small subunit ribosomal RNA", at positions 8 to 806 of the family's 1533-position model. The record is from RNAcentral.